Long non-coding RNA from Dendronephthya gigantea, 846 nucleotides. RefSeq lists it as uncharacterized. The record is from RefSeq and is a predicted model, not a curated record. Lineage: Eukaryota; Metazoa; Cnidaria; Anthozoa; Malacalcyonacea; Nephtheidae. The transcript has 7 exons.
AUUUGGGCCAGGAUAAAAAUUACAUAUUCGGAAUCUGUGUUAUUGCGGAUGAAUAUCGUGCUAGCUUCGCAUAUGUUCGAUUUUGUUGUUCUCGGAGGAAGAGCGAAUCCUGUGGUGAAUCCUGUGGUAGCUUCACACUAGUCGUGAAAAUACUGACCAGCAGGGCCUGGAUGAUAACAAUGAAUUACUGAUACAACAACAAGAUAGCAGCAGUAACUCUGAUGAAUUUGAUGAUGGAAUCGUGCAGAACAGAAGGUGUUCUAGCAAUGAUGAUGAUACAGAUGAUUAUUCAGAUGAUCAAUCAGAUGGAGAGAAUGAUGGCCUGGAUAUUGAAGAUGGUAAUGAACCUGUUUACCAAGGAGCAAUAAUUACCAGAGCACAAAGUAUUUUGAUUUUGUUGUCAUUUCUUCUGCGCCAUGGCUUGACAGAUGUAGCUCUGACAGAUCUACUAGGAAUACUGAAUUUGCAUUUCCCAAGUAUUUUUCCAACUUCGAAGUACAAAUUUUACAAAACAUUUAACUCAACUGAAUCACAGUCAUGGGCAUCAAAAGAUUUAGAGCAGUUUCUAAGGAUGAUGAGAACCAUCAACUUCAGGCAUAACGUCGAACAGACAAGAUUUGUCAUCUUCCCGGGAGAGACUGCUAACAUGUCAGUUCUUGUGACAGUCCUAGAGUCCAUGGGCAUUGAAUGGGACAUUGCAUAUUAUCAUUGCAAUCCUGUAGUACUACAAGAGAGCUCUUCCUUGACAAAGUCAACACACCCUUUCAUUGUGACAAAAACAUGUCAACCAAUCAAAGGAGAUGACCUAUUCACGCAAUCUGCAGAUGAGUUCUUCGCAGAAAAAGA